RNAcentral lists this small RNA (508 nucleotides) under Pan troglodytes (chimpanzee). Its description in RNAcentral is "retained intron". The record is from RNAcentral. Lineage: Eukaryota; Metazoa; Chordata; Mammalia; Primates; Hominidae.
UUUUACACUUGAGGACAUUGGGGUUCAGAGGCCUCUGCCCCCCUCAUCCACCCUCAGGGAUCCCCUUCAGGCCUCUCCAUGAACUUUGUCAUAACCCACCUUCCCCCAUUUCAGGUGCCCUCUGUGGACCAUGUCCUGCACCAGCUAAAAGGUGUCCCCGAGGCCAACUUCUCCAGCAUGGUCCAGGAGGAGAACAGCACCUUCAACGCCCUUCCAGCCCUGGCUGCCAUGCAGACAUCCAGCGUGGUGCAAGAGCUGAAGAAGGCAGUGGCCCAGCAGCCGGAAGGGGUGAGGACACUGGCUGAAGGGUUCCCGGGCUUGGAGGCAGCUUCCCACUGGGCCCAGGCACUGCAGGAGGUGGAGGAGAGCAGCCGCCCCUACCUGCAGGAGGUGCAGAGAUACGAGACCUACAGGUGGAUCGUGGGCUGCGUGCUGUGCUCCGUGGUCCUAUUCGUGGUGCUCUGCAACCUGCUGGGCCUCAAUCUGGGCAUCUGGGGCCUGUCUGCCA